This 231-nucleotide ribosomal RNA is filed under the name Escherichia coli. RNAcentral describes it as "partial 23S ribosomal RNA". It matches the Rfam family "Bacterial large subunit ribosomal RNA", at positions 2718 to 2925 of the family's 2925-position model. Lineage: Bacteria; Pseudomonadati; Pseudomonadota; Gammaproteobacteria; Enterobacterales; Enterobacteriaceae. The record is from RNAcentral.
GGGUUGUCAUGCCAAUGGCACUGCCCGGUAGCUAAAUGCGGAAGAGAUAAGUGCUGAAAGCAUCUAAGCACGAAACUUGCCCCGAGAUGAGUUCUCCCUGACUCCUUGAGAGUCCUGAAGGAACGUUGAAGACGACGACGUUGAUAGGCCGGGUGUGUAAGCGCAGCGAUGCGUUGAGCUAACCGGUACUAAUGAACCGUGAGGCUUAACCUUACAACGCCGAAGGUGUUU